Molecule: ribosomal RNA, 2154 nt
Filed under: Verrucula arnoldaria
Lineage: Eukaryota; Fungi; Ascomycota; Eurotiomycetes; Verrucariales; Verrucariaceae
Description: partial 28S large subunit ribosomal RNA
Rfam family: Eukaryotic large subunit ribosomal RNA
Source: RNAcentral
AUAUCAAUAAGCGGAGGAAAAGAAACCAACCGGGAUUGCCUCAGUAACGGCGAGUGAAGCGGCAUGAGCUCAAAUUUGAAAUCCGGCCCCCGCGGGGCCCGAGUUGUAAUUUGGAGAGGAUGCUUCGGGCGCGGCCGCGGCCUAAUUCGCUUGGAACAGCGGGUCAGAGAGGGUGAGAAUCCCGUCCGGGGCCGUGGGCCGCCGUCCAGGUGAAGCUCCUUCGACGAGUCGAGUUGUUUGGGAAUGCAGCUCUAAAUGGGUGGUAAAUUUCAUCUAAAGCUAAAUAUGGGCCAGAGACCGAUAGCGCACAAGUAGAGUGAUCGAAAGAUGAAAAGCACUUUGAAAAGAGAGUUAAACAGUAUGUGAAAUUGUUGAAAGGGAAGCGCUUGCGACCAGACUUGCGGGCGGCGGUUCCCCCGGGCCUCGUGCCCGGGCCACUCCGCCGUCCCCAGGCCAGCAUCGGUUCGGGGGACCGGUGAAAGGCCCCGGGAAUGUACCAACCUCCGGGUUGACUUAUAGCCCGGGGUGCAAUGCGGCCCCCCCGGACCGAGGCACGCGCUCCGGCUCGGAUGCUGGCGUAAUGGUUGCAAGCGGCCCGUCUUGAAACACGGACCAAGGAGUCUAACAUCUGUGCGAGUGUUUGGGUGGCAAACCCCGGCGCGUAAUGAAGGUGAACGGAGGUAAGAGCCCGCCCCGGGUGCAUUAUCGACCGAUCCUGAAGUCUUCGGAUGGAUUUGAGUAAGAGCACAGCUGUUGGGACCCGAAAGGUACGUCGCUCUGCUCAUUAUUUCUGUCCCCUUCCGCCCCUGAAAGAAUCCGUCAAGAUGAUCUACAGAAUUUCUGUAUAUCUGGUCAGCCUUUGACCAGAGGUGGAGAUACAACUCAGCAAAUACCUCUGACAAAGAUCGGUCGUUAUCUUCCUCACCGCAACCUAAACCAUUUCGCGGUUUGUGAUUGCGUCGAAUAUAGUUGUCAUUCUCCAUACAUCAACCGGACCGAAGCUGCUAUCGAGACACUGGAGAUCAAGGAUAGUGAUAGUGACGACUGAGGGUGGUAGAGCGGGAACGAUCAUCUUGACGGAUUGACUAACCUAUUUUUAAAAAUUAACCUGUAUUCAUCUAGAAACUCCUAUGCUAACUUUUAUCUCUCUACAAAGAUGGUGAACUAUGCCUGAAUAGGGUGAAGCCAGAGGAAACUCUGGUGGAGGCUCGCAGCGGUUCUGACGUGCAAAUCGAUCGUCAAAUUUGGGUAUAGGGGCGAAAGACUAAUCGAACCAUCCUCCGGGCAUCCUGUCACCCGUGGGUUGAUUCAUCUCCGGUGGAUCCUCGGGUGCUGCCAGGUGGUUAAUUCCCGGCCUCGCUGGCCGGGCCAGUCCGGUACCUUGGUAUCGGGCGGCGUCACCAGCCUUUCGGGGACGCCCAAGGGCCAUCCGAAGCCGUCCUGAUCCCGCGGGACGGUUCACAGACUAGACCGUGACGGCCGGACUCUCGUGACGGAGAGACGGUGAUUAUAUAGUCGAGCAUGGUUGUCGGGAUCUCUCCCGGUGGCUCUCCCCCCGAGCGCUUCGGAGCCUGGAUGUCGACGGUAUGUGUCUCAUCCGGGCCCGGAGGCUCCCGUUGGAGGUGGGUCACCGGGGAGCCGAUGGCUCUGGACGCUGGUAGCUGGUUCCUGUCGAAGUUUCCCUCAGGAUAGCAGUAACGUGUUCAGUUUUAUGAGGUAAAGCGAAUGAUUAGAGGCCUUGGGGUUGAAACAACCUUAACCUAUUCUCAAACUUUAAAUAUGUAAGAAGUCCCUGUUGCUCCGUUGAACGGGGACAUUUGAAUGCAGCGUUACUAGUGGGCCAUUUUUGGUAAGCAGAACUGGCGAUGCGGGAUGAACCGAACGCGAGGUUAAGGUGCCGGAAUGCACGCUCAUCAGACACCACAAAAGGUGUCAAUGUAUCCAGACAGCCGGACGGUGGCCAUGGAAGUCGGAAUCCGCCUAGGAGUGUGUAACAACUCACCGGCCGAAUGCAUUGGCCCUGAAAAUGGAUGGCGCUUAAGCGUGCUACCUAUACCUCGCCGUCGGGGUUGAAAUGAGGCCCCGACGAGUAGGCAGGCGUGGGGGUCGGUGACGAAGCCUCGGGGGUGACCCCGGGUCGAACGACCCCUAGUG